This 253-nucleotide ribosomal RNA is filed under the name uncultured bacterium. RNAcentral's name for it is "partial 16S ribosomal RNA". It matches the Rfam family "Bacterial small subunit ribosomal RNA", at positions 524 to 776 of the family's 1533-position model. The record is from RNAcentral.
UACGUAGGGUGCAAGCGUUAAUCGGAAUUACUGGGCGUAAAGCGUGCGCAGGCGGUUUUGUAAGUCUGACGUGAAAUCCCUGGGCUCAACCUGGGAAUUGCGUUGGAGACUGCAAGGCUAGAAUCUGGCAGAGGGGGGGAGAAUUCCACGUGUAGCAGUGAAAUGCGUAGAGAUGUGGAGGAACACCGAUGGCGAAGGCAGCCCCCUGGGUCAAGAUUGACGCUCAUGCACGAAAGCGUGGGGAGCAAACAGG